UACGAAGGGGGCAAGCGUUGUUCGGAUUUACUGGGCGUAAAGCGCUCGUAGGCGGUUUGUUAAGUUAGGGGUGAAAUCCCAGGGCUCAACCCUGGAAUUGCCUUUAAGACUGGCAAACUUGAGUAUGGUAGAGGAUAGUGGAAUUCCCAGUGUAGAGGUGAAAUUCGUAGAUAUUGGGAGGAACACCAGUGGCGAAAGCGGCUAUCUGGACCAUUACUGACGCUCAGGAGCGAAAGCGUGGGGAGCAAACAGGAUUAGAUACCCUGGUAGUCCACGCUGUAAACGAUGGAUGCUAGUUGUUGGGGUUUCUCAGUGACAAAGCUAACGCGUUAAGCAUCCCGCCUGGGGAGUACGGUCGCAAGAUUAAA
Molecule: ribosomal RNA, 368 nt
Filed under: uncultured bacterium
Lineage: Bacteria
Description: bacterial SSU rRNA
Rfam family: Bacterial small subunit ribosomal RNA
Source: RNAcentral